This 2167-nucleotide long non-coding RNA is filed under the name Eucalyptus grandis. Its description in RNAcentral is "long non-coding RNA (EGRA_LNC003803)". The record is from RNAcentral. Lineage: Eukaryota; Viridiplantae; Streptophyta; Magnoliopsida; Myrtales; Myrtaceae.
AUGAAUACACCAGUUAUACCCUGAUGAUCUCAAGAUACAAUAACACAGAAUGCCAUUCAACUUCAGAAAAUUUUCAUGUCAAAUGCUAAAACUCAACAGGGCCUCACAUUCCACUGGCUCUAAUUUCAUUUCAUCACACUUUAGUACCACCCCAAUCUGUUGAAAAGCCUUAUACAUUUAAACUUGAAUAGCAGAUAAGGGACAUGUGCCUAUCUCAGUGACUUUUUCUGAUACAUUCUACCUUAGUAUUCGAUUGAAAUAUGGAGAAGUUCACAAUCACAGAUGCCAAGAGUUGCAGUUAAAGUAGUCGCCACCACAAGAAGUUCCCCAAGAUCAUUAUGAGCAUUCUCAAAAGACCGAUGAAUUUAUACAGAAGCUCCUAAAACUGCUACCAGAUAACAUGUUAAUCAACAGUUUUGUCCCAUUAUUUAUAUCCAUUAUCCAGAAACUACCUUGAGAACACCAGCAGCAGACAGAAUCUGCUGCCCAUGGCAAAUGGAGGCAACUGGCUUCUUGGCCUCCAUGAAGUCCUUAACUAGAGCAAUCACUUUCCCAUCCAAGGCCAAAUAUUCUGGGGCACGACCUCCAGGGAUGACAAGGGCAUCAUAACUUGAGGCAUCCAAACCCUCAAAGUCAGCUGUAAGAGUAAAAUCAUGGCCAGGUUUCUCGCUGUAAGUCUGGUCACCUUCAAAAUCAUGAAUUGCAGUUGGGCAAGUGUCACCACUCUUCUUCUUGGGGCAGACUGCAUCAACAUGGCACCCUAGAGCUUGAAGAGACUGAAAAGGUACGGUUACCUCAUAAUCUUCCAUGUAGUCCUAUAAUAGCAAGCCAUGGGCAAAAGGUUUUAUCAAACUCCGCUUAAACUGCAUGGCCUUGUGACGUGUUAAGUAGAAACAAGCUCGUAAAAUCAUGGCCAGGUUUCUCGCUGUAAGUCUGGUCACCUUCAUGCACAAGCGCAACUACUCAUGAUGUCUUUUGCUACCUUUCAGAUAAAGCAUAAAUUCAACAAUAUGAGCAAUGUAACUUGUUUUUCCUAUUUAGUCAUUUGUAUUUUUUUUUUUGGUAAAAUUUUCUAUUUAGUCAUUCUUUGAUUGAAAAGUGAAAAUGAUUAGUUGAAUGGCAGAAAAAUAAAAUUAGUUAAAUGAACCAUCCAUUAAGUAUAAGGAUAAGUCCAUGACAGUUUUCACCUGGAAUUGCUUAAGAGUAACCAGCCACUUGGAAGGACUAUUCCUGUGACAACUAAUCCUGACAAUCAUAGACUCACCUAGAACGGAGACAUGUAAUGUUGUUUAAAACAGAAUGGCAGUAAUUGACCAACAAAUUAGAUGGAACCAAACGUAGAUUUAACUGAGUGUCUCAACUGCUAGUUUAAUAUAAACAACUAAUUUAAUGCAAGCUAGCACCAAUUCUUUUCAGGACAUAUUUCUCUUGAAAAAUAUUUUCACCUAUCAUAAUUACCAUACUUCAAUUCCAUAACUUAAAUACUGCUGACUCAUCUGUACCACCAGUUCAGACAAGGACACAAGUAAAUUCAACUAAUUAUCCCAAUUAUGUAAUUAACCUAUAUAAGCUCGAUAAAAUGUGUUACAAUCCAAAAUGACAUCACUUUGGCCAUCCAUAACUCAGUCUCUUGAGAAACUAGAAGCUUUAGUUGACAGCCAAACAAAAUGCACUAGUAAAGGAAAAUAAAAAAUUGAGUAAUUUAUUUGAAAACACUUUCAGACAAUACUCUUGGAGCACAUUCCAAUAUUGAUAUAGAGAGGUUAGGAAGUAUCCAGCACCAUAGCAGAGAACCAGCUCCAAAAAGCUCAAGUAGAAAAAGAUGGAAUACCAGUUAGUUGAGAAGAAGUAGAAAGAGGAACACAAGACAUACAUGCCAUUACCGCCCAAAUGUUCAGUAAAUUCUCAACACAUACCCCACAUAAAAAUAAGAUCCGUUUUUCCGACCCAGUAAUGCUGCCACCCAAAGCCUUCACAAAAGACUGGAUGAACUCAGGAUGUCCAGUGUAUGCAACCCCAGUCACAAGAUUGCCAUCAGUAAUACAGAGCGACAUGUUCUCAGGUUCAACCCAGUGAGCACCUGCAGCAAUCAGUACAGGUCCCACAGGAGCGAAUGCUGUGCACUUGCGACCUUUAACAACAUUUGCAGCAGCCAAUAUCAAUUGGC